AAUAACCAAAUAUAAUACUUGGGUUAAGGGUCAAGUUGGUAAUUUUUCUUACAUCUCCCCCUCCCGGAGCCCAGGUAUCAUAGACACCACCAAAAUAAAGAGCCUUGAAUACUAGAAGAAAAGCUCCUAUACCCAGAAAAACACAAAGAUUUUUUCUCUUUA
Molecule: antisense RNA, 162 nt
Filed under: Daucus carota subsp. sativus
Lineage: Eukaryota; Viridiplantae; Streptophyta; Magnoliopsida; Apiales; Apiaceae
Description: lncRNA IsrR
Rfam family: Antisense RNA which regulates isiA expression
Source: Rfam by way of RNAcentral